GUUGAACGCUGGCGGCAGGCCUAACACAUGCAAGUCGAACGGUAACAGGAAGCAGCUUGCUGCUUUGCUGACGAGUGGCGCACGUGUGAGUAAUGUCUGGGACCCUGCCUGAUGGAGGGGGAUAACUACUGGAAACGGUACCUAAUACCGCAUAACGUCUCAACCCCAAAGUGGAGGACCUUCGGGCCUCUUGCCAUCGGCUUAUCCCAGAUGGGAUUAGCUAGUAGGUAGGGUAACGGCUCACCUAGGCGACGAUCCGUAGCUGGUCUGAGAGGGUGACCGGCCACACUGGAACUGAGACACGGUCCAGACUCCUACGGGAGGCAGCAGUGGGGAAUAUUGCACAAUGGGCGCAAGCCUGAUGCAGCCACGCCGCGUGUAUGAAGAAGGCCUUCGGGUUGUAAAGUACUUUCAGCAGGGAGGAAGGGAGUAAAGUUAAUACCUUGGCUCAUUGACGGUACCCGCAGAAGAAGCACCGGCUAACUCCGUG
Molecule: ribosomal RNA, 490 nt
Filed under: uncultured bacterium
Lineage: Bacteria
Description: partial 16S ribosomal RNA
Rfam family: Bacterial small subunit ribosomal RNA
Source: RNAcentral